GGUCCUUACCUUGCAGUUUUGUAUG
This 25-nucleotide unclassified non-coding RNA is filed under the name Taenia solium (pork tapeworm). Its description in RNAcentral is "partial miscellaneous RNA". Lineage: Eukaryota; Metazoa; Platyhelminthes; Cestoda; Cyclophyllidea; Taeniidae. The record is from RNAcentral.